GCUCUUCCCAUCUAAUGAAGUACAAUAAAUAGUCACUGCAAGUGGCCAAAAAGAAGAAAAAUCACUCUGC
Molecule: non-coding RNA, 70 nt
Organism: Arvicanthis niloticus (Nile rat)
Lineage: Eukaryota; Metazoa; Chordata; Mammalia; Rodentia; Muridae
Source: RefSeq, a predicted model, not a curated record